AAUCUUGCGCAAUGGGCGAAAGCCUGACGCAGCAACGCCGCGUGGAGGAUGAAGGCCCUUGGGUUGUAAACUCCUGUCGGCUGGGAAGAACUCGUACGAUGCUCAUACCAUCGUGCGUUGACUGUACCAGCAAAGGAAGCCCCGGCUAACUCUGUGCCAGCAGCCGCGGUAAUACAGAGGGGGCUAGCGUUAUUCGGAAUUACUGGGCGUAAAGAGUUGCGUAGGCGGUUAAGUAAGUGAAUAGUGAAACUGUGUGGCUCAACCAUGCACCCAUUAUUCAAACUGCUUUGACUAGAGAAUGGAAGAGGUUGCUAGAAUUCCUAGUGUAGGGGUGAAAUCCGUAGAUAUUAGGAGGAAUACCGAUGGCGUAGGCAGGCAACUGGUCCAUUUCUGACGCUCAGGCACGAAAGCGUGGGGAGCGAUC
Molecule: ribosomal RNA, 424 nt
Filed under: uncultured bacterium
Lineage: Bacteria
Description: bacterial SSU rRNA
Rfam family: Bacterial small subunit ribosomal RNA
Source: RNAcentral